RNAcentral lists this ribosomal RNA (31 nucleotides) under Limonium sinuatum. Its description in RNAcentral is "partial 26S ribosomal RNA". Lineage: Eukaryota; Viridiplantae; Streptophyta; Magnoliopsida; Caryophyllales; Plumbaginaceae. The record is from RNAcentral.
GACCCCAGGUCAGGCGGGACUACCGCUGACU